AUGCAAAAUUCACUCAAGAUGCAUUCAUAUAAUAUUGACCCAAAGGUUUUAAGACUUAUUCAAGAUAGCCAAGAAACCAUUACAAAAUACAUAUUCAAGAUCCAAAUAAAAAAUCAAUUCCAUACAUUUCAAAUUCCAUCACAAGACAUUAAAAAUCCAUAUUACAUUCCAAAGAAACAGAUACAUAAUAAAAUCCUAGAAUUUAUCCUUCAUCUUCACGAGCCAAAACUUGCUGCAUAA
This is a non-coding RNA of Vicia faba (fava bean), 240 nucleotides long. Lineage: Eukaryota; Viridiplantae; Streptophyta; Magnoliopsida; Fabales; Fabaceae. The record is from the annotation of a GenBank genome assembly.